This 185-nucleotide ribosomal RNA is filed under the name uncultured bacterium. Its description in RNAcentral is "partial 16S ribosomal RNA". It matches the Rfam family "Bacterial small subunit ribosomal RNA", at positions 1299 to 1500 of the family's 1533-position model. The record is from RNAcentral.
AAGAGGCUGAAACUCGCCUCUUUGAAGUCGGAAUCGCUAGUAAUCGCAGAUCAGCAUGUUGCGGUGAAUACGUUUCCUGGUCUUGUACACACCGCCCGUCAAACCAUGAGAGUCGCCAACACCCGAAGUCCGCUUUGCGGCCUAAGGUGGGGGAGAUGAUUGGGGUUAAGUCGUAACAAGGUAGC